This 338-nucleotide unclassified non-coding RNA is filed under the name soil metagenome. RNAcentral's name for it is "partial contains 5.8S ribosomal RNA, internal transcribed spacer 2, and large subunit ribosomal RNA". The stretch from base 1 to 120 matches the Rfam family "5.8S ribosomal RNA", at positions 35 to 154 of the family's 154-position model. The record is from RNAcentral.
GAUGAAGAACGUAGCGAAAUGCGAUAAGUAAUGUGAAUUGCAGAAUUCAGUGAAUCAUCGAAUCUUUGAACGCACAUUGCGCCCUUUGGUAUUCCAAAGGGCAUGCCUGUUCGAGCGUCAUUUGUACCCUCAAGCUUUGCUUGGUGUUGGGCGUCUUGUCUCCAGUCCGCUGGAGACUCGCCUUAAAGUCAUUGGCAGCCGGCCUACUGGUUUCGGAGCGCAGCACAAGUCGCACUCUUUUCCAGCCAAGGUCAGUGUCCAACAAGCCUUUUUUCAACUUUUGACCUCGGAUCAGGUAGGGAUACCCGCUGAACUUAAGCAUAUCAAUAAGCGGAGGA